AUUGUCAAAAUCGAGAAUGACAACCCACGCACGUGUACGGGGCAACUGCGUGAUGCACGUGCAAACUAUGGAAUGUGUUUCCGUGUGUUGAUAAACAGACCAGAACGUUCUUUACUAGGGUGUCUGUGGUCAAACAUAUGUUCGGUCUACUAGUUGAUAUUAACAUUAAUAUUUCAGGUUCCCCUACUUUUUUUGAAGAGUAUAUAUAUAUUAAGUCAUUUACUGUGUUCGUUUUUGUUUGUUUUUUUACAGCUAACGCCAAAUUCUGGGGUACAUAUCGCUGCGGCCCUACAUGUGCAAUUUAUUGUCCGUGCGGCCGUGUGAUGAAGAACGGUUGUCCCACCUGCACCUGCAAACCGUGUACAGGUGCAGACCACGUGACAAAAUGAUGACGUCGAAAGAAUAACGGCCGAGAUAAAAAAAAGAAAUAAAAUAGAAAUAGAAAUUA
Molecule: long non-coding RNA, 448 nt
Organism: Gigantopelta aegis
Lineage: Eukaryota; Metazoa; Mollusca; Gastropoda; Neomphalida; Peltospiridae
Exons: 2
Source: RefSeq, a predicted model, not a curated record